GAUGGAUGGUAAGUCAAAGCUUGGUAUUGGUUGGUUUCGUUUGCUUGGUUAUAAAAGCCUGCUGAAUGGACCUCCACUCAGCCCUUCAAAUCAACUCAUUUAUUUACCCCACUGUAAAAAAACCAACUUGAGCAAACACAUGAUUUUCUCCGUUUCACUCCUCCUCCUUUUAUACUUUUUUGCAGACCACACUACCAAUUAUUUCACAUAUGGGGAUGCCCCAUUUCAUUUCCAACUUCCGAGUUUCCA
RNAcentral lists this long non-coding RNA (249 nucleotides) under Carica papaya (papaya). RNAcentral describes it as "long non-coding RNA (CPAP_LNC010372)". The record is from RNAcentral. Lineage: Eukaryota; Viridiplantae; Streptophyta; Magnoliopsida; Brassicales; Caricaceae.